UCCGCUAUGGUGUAACGGUCAGCAUACUGCCUUUUCAGUGACAAUUUAUAUUGUCAGAAGUACGGCGGAGACCGGGGUUCGAUUCCCCGUAGCGGAG
This is a non-coding RNA of Cadophora sp. M221, 97 nucleotides long. The record is from the annotation of a GenBank genome assembly. Lineage: Eukaryota; Fungi; Ascomycota; Leotiomycetes; Helotiales; Ploettnerulaceae.